UGGCGGACGGGGGAGUAAUGUCUGGGAAACUGCCCGAUGGAGGGGGAUAACUACUGGAAACGGUAGCUAAUACCGCAUAACGUCGCAAGACCAAAGAGGGGGACCUUAGGGCCUCUUGCCAUCGGAUGUGCCCAGAUGGGAUUAGCUAGUAGGUGGGGUAAAGGCUCACCUAGGCGACGAUCCCUAGCUGGUCUGAGAGGAUGACCAGCCACACUGGAACUGAGACACGGUCCAG
Molecule: ribosomal RNA, 235 nt
Filed under: uncultured bacterium
Lineage: Bacteria
Description: partial 16S ribosomal RNA
Rfam family: Bacterial small subunit ribosomal RNA
Source: RNAcentral